This 253-nucleotide ribosomal RNA is filed under the name uncultured bacterium. Its description in RNAcentral is "partial 16S ribosomal RNA". It matches the Rfam family "Bacterial small subunit ribosomal RNA", at positions 524 to 776 of the family's 1533-position model. The record is from RNAcentral.
UACGAAGGGGGCUAGCGUUGCUCGGAAUCACUGGGCGUAAAGGGUGCGUAGGCGGGCUUUUAAGUCAGGGGUGAAAUCCUGGAGCUCAACUCCAGAACUGCCCUUGAUACUGGCGAUCUCGAGUUCGGGAGAGGUGAGUGGAACUGCGAGUGUAGAGGUGAAAUUCGUAGAUAUUCGCAAGAACACCAGUGGCGAAGGCGGCUCACUGGCCCGAUACUGACGCUGAGGUGCGAAAGCGUGGGGAGCAAACAGG